AUCUAAAUGAUGUGUCUCAAACAGGACCAAACUCGUGUCCUAGAU
Schistosoma rodhaini is the source of this 45-nucleotide non-coding RNA. Lineage: Eukaryota; Metazoa; Platyhelminthes; Trematoda; Strigeidida; Schistosomatidae. The record is from Rfam.